Molecule: ribosomal RNA, 405 nt
Filed under: uncultured bacterium
Lineage: Bacteria
Description: partial 16S ribosomal RNA
Rfam family: Bacterial small subunit ribosomal RNA
Source: RNAcentral
GACGAACGCUGGCGGCGUGCUUAACACAUGCAAGUCGAGCGGAGCGGCGAACGGGUGAGUAACGCGUGAGUAACUGCCCCCCUCUCUGGGAUAACAGUUGGAAACGGCUGCUAAUACUGGAUAGUGGGGGAUGACUCGCGUCCUAUCAGCUUGUUGGUGGGGUAGUGGCCUACCAAGGCGACGACGGGUAGCCGGCCUGAGAGGGCGAUCGGCCACAUUAGGCUGCGAUACGGACCAAAGUCGUACGGGGGGCAGCGGUGGGGAGUAUUUCACAAUGGAGGAAACCCUGGUGCAGCAACGACGCGUGCGGGAUGACGGCAUUCGGGUUGUAAACCGCUUUCAGCCAUGACGCGGUAGUGGCAGAAGAAGCACCGGCUAACUACGUGCCAGCAGCCGCGGGAAUAC